UACAGAGGUCUCAAGCGUUGCUCGGAAUUACUGGGCGUAAAGGGCUCGUAGGCGGCCAACUAAGUCGGACGUGAAAUCCCUCGGCUUAACCGGGGAACUGCGUCCGAUACUGGAUGGCUUGAGGUUGGGAGAGGGAUGCGGAAUUCCAGGUGUAGCGGUGAAAUACGUAGAUAUCUGGAGGAACACCGGUGGCGAAGGCGGCAUCCUGGACCAAUUCUGACGCUGAGGAGCGAAAGCCAGGGGAGCAAACGGG
RNAcentral lists this ribosomal RNA (253 nucleotides) under uncultured bacterium. RNAcentral describes it as "partial 16S ribosomal RNA". It matches the Rfam family "Bacterial small subunit ribosomal RNA", at positions 524 to 776 of the family's 1533-position model. The record is from RNAcentral.